This 595-nucleotide ribosomal RNA is filed under the name Moesziomyces aphidis. RNAcentral describes it as "partial large subunit ribosomal RNA". It matches the Rfam family "Eukaryotic large subunit ribosomal RNA", at positions 38 to 645 of the family's 3401-position model. The record is from RNAcentral. Lineage: Eukaryota; Fungi; Basidiomycota; Ustilaginomycetes; Ustilaginales; Ustilaginaceae.
GCAUAUCAAUAAGCGGAGGAAAAGAAACUAACAAGGAUUCCCCUAGUAACGGCGAGUGAAGAGGGAAGAGCCCAAGAUUGAAAGCUGGCGUCUUCGGCGUCCGCAUUGUAAUCUCAAGAAGUGUUUUCCGCUUCGGACCAAGCCUAAGUCCCUUGGAAAAGGGCAUCAUAGAGGGUGAUAAUCCCGUACAUGGCUUGGAGCGCCCGAAGCUUUGUGAUACGCUUUCUAAGAGUCGAGUUGUUUGGGAAUGCAGCUCAAAAUGGGUGGUAAAUGCCAUCUAAGGCUAAAUAUUGGGGAGAGACCGAUAGCGAACAAGUACAGUGAUGGAAAGAUGAAAAGAACUUUGAAAAGAGAGUUAAACAGUACGUGAAAUUGCCAAAAGGGAAGGGUAGGAGGUCAGAGAUGCGGCCUGGGAUUCAGCCUUGCUUUUGCUUGGUGUUUUUCCCAGAUUGCAGGCCAACGUCGGUUUUGGGCACUGGAGAAGGGUAGGAGGAACGUGGCACCUCUCGGGGUGUGUUAUAGCCUCCUACUGGAUACAGCGACCGAGACCGAGGACAGCAGCGUACUCGCAAGAGCGGGCCUUCGGGCACCUUAC